AUACGGAGGAUCCGAGCGUUAUCCGGAUUUAUUGGGUUUAAAGGGUGCGCAGGCGGCCAUUUAAGUCAGCGGUUAAAUCGUGGGGCUCAACCCCAUUCUGCCGUUGAUACUGGGUGGCUUGAUUGCGGUCGAGGUUGGCGGAAUUCGUUGUGUAGCGGUGAAAUGCAUAGAUAUGACGAAGAGCACCGAUUGCGUAGGCAGCUGACCAGACCGCAAAUGACGCUCAUGCACGAAAGUGCGGGGAUCGAACAGGAUUAGAUACCCUGGUAGUCCGCACAGUAAACGAUGAAUACUUGUUUUCGGCGAUAUAAUGUCGGAGGCAAAGCGAAAGCGAUAAGUAUUCCACCUGGGGAGUACGCCGGCAACGGUGAAACUUAAAGGAAUUGACGGGG
This 392-nucleotide ribosomal RNA is filed under the name uncultured bacterium. RNAcentral's name for it is "partial 16S ribosomal RNA". It matches the Rfam family "Bacterial small subunit ribosomal RNA", at positions 523 to 918 of the family's 1533-position model. The record is from RNAcentral.